This 253-nucleotide ribosomal RNA is filed under the name uncultured bacterium. RNAcentral describes it as "partial 16S ribosomal RNA". It matches the Rfam family "Bacterial small subunit ribosomal RNA", at positions 524 to 776 of the family's 1533-position model. The record is from RNAcentral.
UACGAAGGGGGCUAGCGUUGCUCGGAAUCACUGGGCGUAAAGCGCACGUAGGCGGCUUUUUAAGUCAGGGGUGAAAUCCUGGAGCUCAACUCCAGAACUGCCUUUGAUACUGGGAAGCUUGAGUCCGGAAGAGGUGAGUGGAAUUCCUAGUGUAGAGGUGAAAUUCGUAGAUAUUAGGAAGAACACCAGUGGCGAAGGCGGCUCACUGGCCCGGUACUGACGCUCAUGUGCGAAAGCGUGGGGAGCAAACAGG